UUGAUCCUGGCUCAGGAUGAACGCUAGCGGAAGGCCUAACACAUGCAAGUCGAGCGGUAUUUGGUAGCUUGCUACUAGAGAGAGCGGCGUACGGGUGCGUAACAUGUGUGCAACCUACCCUUAUCAAGGGGAUAGCCAUUCGAAAGGAUGAUUAAUACCCUAUAAUAUAUCAGGUGGCAUCAUUUGAUAUUGAAAGCUACGGUGGAUAAGGAUGGGCACGCACAAGAUUAGCUAGUUGGUAAGGUAACGGCUUACCAAGGCGAUGAUCUUUAGGGGUCCUGAGAGGGAGAUCCCCCACACUGGGACUGAGACACGGCCCAGACUCCUACGGGAGGCAGCAGUGAGGAAUAUUGGACAAUGGGUGGGAGCCUGAUCCAGCCAUUCCGCGUGCAGGAAGAAGGUCUUAUGGAUUGUAAACUGCUUUUAUAUAGGGAUAAACCUACUCUCGAGAGGGUAGCUGAAGGUACUAUAUGAAUAAGCACCGGCUAACUCCGUGCCAGCAGCCGCGGUAAUACGGAGGGUGCAAGCGUUAUCCGGACUUAUUGGGUUUAAAGGGUCCGUAGGCGGGUUAUUAAGUCAGUGGUGAAAUCUCAUAGCUCAACUAUGAAACUGCCAUUGAUACUGAUAGUCUUGAGUAUAUUUGAAGUAGCUGGAAUAAGUAGUGUAGCGGUGAAAUGCAUAGAUAUUACUUAGAACACCAAUAGCGAAGGCAGGUUACUAAGAUAUUACUGACGCUGAGGGACGAGAGCGUAGGGAGCGAACAGGAUUAGAUACCCUGGUAGUCUACGCUGUAAACGAUGCUUGGGAAUUGACAGCUAUAGAGAUAUGGUUUUCUUCGGACAAUUUUCAAGGUGCUGCAUGGUUGUCGUCAGCUCGUGCCGUGAGGUGUUAGGUUAAGUCCUGCAACGAGCGCAACCCUUGUCACUAGUUGCCAUCAUUAAGUUGGGGACUCUAGUGAGACUGCCUACGCAAGUAGAGAGGAAGGUGGGGAUGACGUCAAAUCAUCACGGCCCUUACGUCUUGGGCCACACACGUAAUACAAUGGGCGAUACAGAGGGCAGCUACACAGCGAUGUGAUGCGAAUCUCGAAAGUCGUUCUCAGUUCGGAUUGGAGUCUGCAACUCGACUCUAUGAAGCUGGAAUCGCUAGUAAUCGCGUAUCAGCCAUGACGCGGUGAAUACGUUCCCGGGCCUUGUACACACCGCCCGUCAAGCCAUGGAAGUUUGGGGUACCUGAAGUCGGUGACCGUAAAAGGAGCUGCCUAGGGUAAAACAAGUAACUAGGGCUAAGUCGUAACAAGGUAGCCGUACCGGAAGGUGUGGCUG
Molecule: ribosomal RNA, 1325 nt
Filed under: human oral metagenome
Description: bacterial SSU rRNA
Rfam family: Bacterial small subunit ribosomal RNA
Source: RNAcentral